CCUGGUUGAUCCUGCCAGUAGUCAUAUGCUUGUCUCAAAGAUUAAGCCAUGCAUGUCUAAGUCCAAGCUGUGUCUUGACACGGCGAGACCGCGGACGGCUCAUUAAAUCAGUCGUUGUCCAAAUGGGCCAGUACUAAUUACUUGGAUAACUGUGGUAAUUCCAGAGCUAAUACAUGCAACUUAUACCCUGAUGCUUCGUUCGCGCGUUGCUGACGGGUGCUUUUAUUAGACCAAACCGCUGGGGCUCUCUUAACCGAGAGCCUGAUUUGCUAUGUGGUGACUCUGGAUAACCUUUUGAUGACAAGCGCACGUACCUCUCGUAGGACGGCGCUGCCACUUUCGAGUGUCUGCCUUAUCAGCUGUCAACCGCUCGCUAUACGCGACCGAUGGCUUUGACGGGUAACGGGGAAUCAGGGUUCGAUUCCGGAGAGGCAGCCUGAGAGACGGCUACCACGUCCAAGGACGGCAGCAGGCACGCAAAUUACCCAAUCCCAGCACAUUCUGGGGGAGGUAGUGACGAAACAUAACGAAGCGUGCGCCCUUCACGGGUCUCGCUAUCGGAAUGAGCACUUUUCUAAACACCCUGAUGAGAACCUACUGAAGGGCAAGUCUGGUGCCAGCAGCCGCGGUAAUUCCAGCUUCAGUAGCAUAUAUUAAAGUUGCUGCGGUUAAAAGGCUCGUAGUUGAAUGUCUGUUCCGAGCAGCGGCAGGUGGACGUUGGGGUUGUUGUUGGCUCCUUCGCGGUGUCCAGCACACGCUCCCGUCCGUUAACAUCCUCCGCUCUCGCGUACAAAAGGGCGUCGACCGAGAGUUCUCUCUCGCAGACGCCACAGUCACCCUGAGUAAAUCAGAGUGCUCAAAGCAGUCGUAAAGGGCCUAGCCCUGUUAACACACGGAGCGUGGCUUCGUGCCCGCUCUAAGAGGACAGACUUGGUUUUGCAUGGUAUGUCGGAAAACGACGUCGGGCGCUGGCUAAUGGUCGUAGCAGUGGUAUAAGCCAGCCUCGACGUAAUGAUUAAAAGGGCUUGUCGAGGCCAUUGGUAUUGCGAAGCGAGAGGUGAAAUUCUAUGACCUUCGCAAGACCUCCUGAAGCGAAAGCGUCUGCCAAGGAUGUUUUCAUUAAUCAUGAACGAAAGUUAGAGGAUCGAAGGCGAUCAGAUACCGCCCUAGUUCUAACCCUAAACGAUGCCAACCAUCAAUUCGUCGAGCACCCUUCUUGACGGGCUCGACGGGCGGCUCCUAUCUUACGGGAAACCAGAGUCUCUGGGUUCCGGGGGGAGUCUGGUUGCAAAGCUGAAACUUAAAGGAAUUGACGGAAAGGCACCACCAGGCGUGGAGCCUGCGGCUUAAUUUGACUCAACACGGGCAAUCUCACCAGGCCAGGACUCUAGAAUGAUUGACAGAUUGAGAGCUCUUUCUCGAUUUAGUGGAUGGUGGUGCAUGCCCGUUCUUAGAUGGUGGAGUGAUCUGUCUGGUUAAUUCCGAUAACGAACGAGACUCUCCCCUGCUAACUAGUCGGNUGGAUCUUGAAAUGCGAGUUCGCAGUUGCAGGGAUCUCUCCUUGCGUGGAUGUGCUCGCGUUCCGGUUGUGCUGUGCUUGUCGCGGCCUCCCGUGCGUGCUGUGCUCUGCGUGUAGGGUCUUCCUUGCCUGCACUCCAAGUCCGCCGGCCUUUAUAGGUCUUGAAGAAUUCUUCUUAGAGGGAUCAACGGCUCUGAAGCCGUCAGAGACUGAGAGCAAUAACAGGUCUGUGAUGCCCUUAGAUGUUCUGGGCCGCACGCGCGCUACAAUGCUGGGCACAACAGGUGUUUCUUCCUGCUCCGAGAGGAGCGGGCAACCCUCUGAAAGCCCUUCUUGUCUCUCUCUUUCUGCGUUAGUUUCGCCUCGUGUGUGCUUCGUAGAGGAGAGCAGCGUGCUUGGGCCUGGGGCUUGCAAUUAUUCCCCACAAACGAGGAAUGCCUAGUAGCGGUGGGUCACUGAGCCCGCCGUGACUGAGUCCCUGCCCUUUGUACACACCGCCCGUCGCUACUACCGAUUGGGUGUUCCAGUGAGAGCCUUGGACUGGCAGAGCCGCCCCUCAAAGGCGGUAUCAUGACUGAAAGAGGUCCGAACUGGUGCACUUAGAGGAAGUAAAAGUCGUAACAAGGUUUCCGUAGGUGAACCUGCGGAAGGAUCAUUA
This 2177-nucleotide ribosomal RNA is filed under the name Caprella geometrica. Its description in RNAcentral is "SSU rRNA". It matches the Rfam family "Eukaryotic small subunit ribosomal RNA". Lineage: Eukaryota; Metazoa; Arthropoda; Malacostraca; Amphipoda; Caprellidae. The record is from RNAcentral.